AACGAACGCUGGCGGCAUGCCUAACACAUGCAAGUCGAACGAGACCUUCGGGUCUAGUGGCGCACGGGUGCGUAACGCGUGGAAACCUGCCCUUAGGUUCGGAAUAACUCCCCGAAAGGGGUGCUAAUACCGGAUAAUGUCUUCGGACCAAAGAUUUAUCGCCUUUGGAUGGGCCCGCGUUGGAUUAGCUAGUUGGUAGGGUAAAAGCCUACCAAGGCGACGAUCCAUAGCUGGUCUGAGAGGAUGAUCAGCCACACUGGGACUGAGACACGGCCCAGACUCCUACGGGAGGCAGCAGUGGGGAAUAUUGGACAAUGGGCGAAAGCCUGAUCCAGCAAUGCCGCGGGAGUGAUGAAGGCCUUAGGGUUGUAAAGCUCUUUUACCCGGGAUGAUAAGGACAGUACCGGGAGAAUAAGCUCCGGCGAACUCCGG
RNAcentral lists this ribosomal RNA (432 nucleotides) under uncultured bacterium. RNAcentral's name for it is "partial 16S ribosomal RNA". It matches the Rfam family "Bacterial small subunit ribosomal RNA", at positions 29 to 506 of the family's 1533-position model. The record is from RNAcentral.